GAUGAACGCUGGCGGCGUGCCUAAUACAUGCAAGUCGAGCGAACAGACGAGGAGCUUGCUCCUCUGACGUUAGCGGCGGACGGGUGAGUAACACGUGGAUAACCUACCUAUAAGACUGGGAUAACUUCGGGAAACCGGAGCUAAUACCGGAUAAUAUAUUGAACCGCAUGGUUCAAUAGUGAAAGACGGUUUUGCUGUCACUUAUAGAUGGAUCCGCGCCGCAUUAGCUAGUUGGUAAGGAACGGCUUACCAAGGCAACGAUGCGUAGCCGACCUGAGAGGGUGAUCGGCCACACUGGAACUGAGACACGGUCCAGACUCCUACGGGAGGCAGCAGUAGGGAAUCUUCCGCAAUGGGCGAAAGCCUGACGGGGCAACGCCGCGUGAGUGAUGAAGGUCUUCGGAUCGUAAAACUCUGUUAUUAGGGAAGAACAAAUGUGUAAGUAACUAUGCACGUCUUGACGGUACCUAAUCAGAAAGCCACGGCUAACUACGUG
Molecule: ribosomal RNA, 496 nt
Filed under: uncultured bacterium
Lineage: Bacteria
Description: partial 16S ribosomal RNA
Rfam family: Bacterial small subunit ribosomal RNA
Source: RNAcentral